GAGUUUGAUCUUGGCUCAGAUUGAACGCUGGCGGCAGGCCUAACACAUGCAAGUCGAGCGGAUGACGGGAGCUUGCUCCUUGAUUCAGCGGCGGACGGGUGAGUAAUGCCUAGGAAUCUGCCUGGUAGUGGGGGACAACGUUUCGAAAGGAACGCUAAUACCGCAUACGUCCUACGGGAGAAAGCAGGGGACCUUCGGGCCUUGCGCUAUCAGAUGAGCCUAGGUCGGAUUAGCUAGUUGGUGGGGUAAUGGCUCACCAAGGCGACGAUCCGUAACUGGUCUGAGAGGAUGAUCAGUCACACUGGAACUGAGACACGGUCCAGACUCCUACGGGAGGCAGCAGUGGGGAAUAUUGGACAAUGGGCGAAAGCCUGAUCCAGCCAUGCCGCGUGUGUGAAGAAGGUCUUCGGAUUGUAAAGCACUUUAAGUUGGGUAGGAAGGGCAGUAAGUUAAUACCUUGCUGUUUUGACGUUUACCGACAGAAUAAGCACCGGCUAACUCUGUGCCAGCCGCCG
Molecule: ribosomal RNA, 515 nt
Filed under: bacterium enrichment culture clone ALO1_GLFRUDD03F53LW
Lineage: Bacteria
Description: bacterial SSU rRNA
Rfam family: Bacterial small subunit ribosomal RNA
Source: RNAcentral